RNAcentral lists this unclassified non-coding RNA (216 nucleotides) under Hevea brasiliensis (rubber tree). The record is from RNAcentral. Lineage: Eukaryota; Viridiplantae; Streptophyta; Magnoliopsida; Malpighiales; Euphorbiaceae.
GAGUUCUGGUACUGACGCAGUCAUUUUUAAGUUAAAUAUGAUAGAUUUUUUGAAUUACCUGUUCUGUCAUAGAUGAGCUCUUUCUCAUUAUAGCUGUUACUUGAAAGCUUUACAUGCUUCCCUUUACCCAGUUAUUUGGUGGAUUCAUGCUGGUCCCUGAUACUGUGUUGUUGACUCCUUUGCCCUGAUCUGUGAGUAGGUCAGACCCAAAACGCU